Molecule: ribosomal RNA, 427 nt
Filed under: uncultured bacterium
Lineage: Bacteria
Description: partial 16S ribosomal RNA
Rfam family: Bacterial small subunit ribosomal RNA
Source: RNAcentral
GUGGGGAAUAUUGCGCAAUGGGGGAAACCCUGACGCAGCAAUACCGCGUGAGUGAAGAAGGUUUUCGGAUCGUAAAACUCUUUUAUUGGGGAAGAAGAAGUGACGGUACCCAAUGAAGAAGUCCCGGCUAACUACGUGCCAGCAGCCGCGGUAAUACGUAGGGGACAAGCGUUGCCCGGAAUCACUGGGCGUAAAGGGCGCGUAGGCGGUUUUAUAAGUCAGAUGUGAAAGGUACCGGCUCAACCGGUGACGUGCAUUUGAAACUGUAAGACUUGAGUACUGGAGAGGCAAGUGGAAUUCCUAGUGUAGCGGUGAAAUGCGUAGAUAUUAGGAGGAACACCGGUGGCGAAGGCGGCUUGCUGGACAGAUACUGACGCUGAGGUGCGAAAGCGUGGGGAGCGAACAGGAUUAGAUACCCUAGUAGUCC